Long non-coding RNA from Manis pentadactyla (Chinese pangolin), 2530 nucleotides. RefSeq lists it as uncharacterized. The record is from RefSeq and is a predicted model, not a curated record. Lineage: Eukaryota; Metazoa; Chordata; Mammalia; Pholidota; Manidae. The transcript is spliced from 3 exons.
UGUCCUCUCUGUUAAGUCAGAUGAACCUGAAUGACUUGUCCAUCCUGUUUCUGCUGUUCCUUAUAAACUGCACAUCUUCAGAAGGAGUUCUGGAAAACUUCUCAGAAGACAAAAGAACUAAAGGGAGGUCCACCAUCUAUCUGGAAAACACAAGAAGUGCCUGACCUAGAAGAAAAGCUAUUUACACAUCUGGAAAUCCCCUGGAAGAGCCAUUCAGAUGAGAGCACAGGACACAAGUGUCUCCAGGCUGGAGGAGCUUAUUGACUGGCAGACCAUUGCAGGAGAAAAAUUACCCUGAUACCUAUGCUUAGAAAGUGCCCGCAAAUUUGUAUCUUGGUCUCCUCAUCAGAAAUCUGGGGAAGCCAGCUAUGGUGUAGUGAGCCCUUGAGUAGCCCUAUGAAGAGGUAUGCAGGCUGAGGAACUGAGGCCUUCUGCCAAUAGCCAGCACUGACUUGUCAGCCGUGUGAACCAUAUGAGCCAUCAGGGAAGUGGAGCUCCCCACCCUGGUCCAGUCUUCAGAUGACUGCAGCCUCAGCAACGUCUUGACUUCACUCUCAUCAAACAUCCCAAGUCAACAAGCCACCCAGUUAAGUCACCCCUAAAUUACUGACCCAUGGAAACGGUGUGAGAUAAUAAAUGCCCAUUAUUAUUUUUAGCCAGCAAAUGGGGAAAUUUGUCAUACAACAAUAAAUAACUAUACAAGUGUCUAUCAGUUAAACCAUUAUGCCAAACUGCCACCAUGUAUGAAUUAAUUAUCCUGUGUAAGUGCAUAGACGUUAUAGUUUUAAACCAACAAAUGCAUAUAGUUUAGGGGGAGUGGAGAGGAAAAAGUAAAGGGAUGCUGAGGGAAUAAUCAUAGGAAGUAUGACUGAAUAUCAUAGUAUCAUAGGAUAUCUAUGUAUCAUAGUAUUGCAUAAUAUCAAGUAUCAUAGGAAGUAUGAUAGAGAAAAUAAAGAACAAAGAUACACCAGAAGGCCACAUGUCAUCUGUUCUUGUUCACUAAACCAUCUCUUCUAAAGUUACCAGCAACAUCUUCGAAUAAAUAGAUGCUGAAGGGAUUGAUUAGGAAAAUGAUUAUAAGUUCAACAUUAAUUAAUGGAAAGGUAUAAUCUGAAAUUGUUUCUCACAGGCAAUCUUUCCAGGAAGAAAAGAAUAUUUUCUGUGCUCUUAUCAGGAUUCAGGAAUUUGUUUUGACUCUUAAGAAUAUAUAUGCAGACUCUUAUGUUUUAUAUUCUUAAGCUCUUCAAGGCCAAGAAAGGACAUCCAGUCGUCCAUCUUAUCCCUAGGUCCAAAUGUUUUGCACCUUUUGCAAGGACCCGUCUUGCCUCCAGAUUCCAUAGGAUUCCUUUCCUGGCAACCUGAAAUGCAAGUUACCAACCUCUCUCAAGUUUUCAUCUUGAAGUAAUAAUGGGUUCUGGGAGUUUCCAUUUGCUUCAACAUCCAAAUUAAGUUUAGAUGCAUUAGACUUAAUGGAUUUAAAUAUCAUUUAUUAGAUAUACAUUUUUUUCAUUUUUUGUUUUGUUGUAUUGAUUUAUUUAUUUAGUCUUAGGCCAAUGUAGAACAAUUUAAUUCUGAGUUUAGAGCUUAAAAUAUGUGUAUGUACAUAUAUAGAGAGACACAUACACUAGCACACACACAGAUAUAAUGUAAAAUAAAUGAUAAAUGAAUAUACAAAUAUAAGAUAUAAAAAUAAAAUAAAAAAUUUAAGAUCACCUCUUUGCUGCCUAUAACAUAGUGUUCCUUCAGUCUGCUGAUUCAGACCUAUUAUUUAUGAAACAGUUUAGUUGGUUGUGAUCAACUUUCCUGAAAUUUAAGUAGAAAAGAGAGCAGGAGAAGAGGAGAAAGAGAAGGGAAGAGAGCAAAGUAAACUACAUUUUAAAGACAUAUUACUUCCUCAAAUUUUUGUUUCAGUUAAGGCACACACACAUGAGUAUGUGACUGUGAGUGUAUGAUGUAAAAUGUGUUUCCUAAUGUAGAUUAUGGUCAAAAAGAUUUUUUAAAAACUAAUAAACAUGAAAAUAAACUGAAAUCAUUAUUGUGUAGGUUACAAAGCACCCCAAAACUUAAUUGCUUAAAACACAGACAUUUCAUUUUGCCCAUGGAUUCUUCAGAUCAGGAAUUCAAAUAGAGCAGAGUAUUUAGCUUGUUUCUAUGUCUUAAUGGGGACUUCAGCUGAGAAGACUUGACCACUGGAAGCUGGAGUCAGCUAGAGACUCUUCUCACAUUUCUGGUCCUUGAAUUAGGACAGUUCAAAGACGAGGCCAGCUAAUCAGAGUGUACAAACAUUGUCUCCCCAUGCACCUUGCCCUUCUUACAGCAUGGUGGCCUCAGAUUCACCAAAAUUCUUAUGAGAUAGUCCAGAGAUUGAAGCCUGUGGGUUCCAGCAAAUAAGACAGAGAUGCAUUGCUUUUUAAGACCUGGCCUUGGAAGUUAUACAGCCUCAUAUCCUCCACACUCUAUUGGUGCAUGGUGUCACAAGUUUGCUCGGAUUCAAGGGUAUGACAAUAAGACUUGAUUGGGGAACAUCAAG